UGAGCAACCUGCCCUUGACUCUGGAAUAACAGCUGGAAACAGCUGCUAAUACCGGAUACGACCUCCGAUGGCAUCAUCUGGAGGUGGAAAGCUCCGACGGUCAAGGAUGGGCUCGCGGCCUAUCAGCUUGUUGGUGAGGUAACGGCUCACCAAGGCUUCGACGGGUAGCCGGCCUGAGAGGGCGACUGGCCACACUGGGACUGAGAUACGGCCCAGAUCCUA
This 222-nucleotide ribosomal RNA is filed under the name uncultured bacterium. Its description in RNAcentral is "partial 16S ribosomal RNA". It matches the Rfam family "Bacterial small subunit ribosomal RNA", at positions 118 to 340 of the family's 1533-position model. The record is from RNAcentral.